Molecule: ribosomal RNA, 488 nt
Filed under: uncultured bacterium
Lineage: Bacteria
Description: bacterial SSU rRNA
Rfam family: Bacterial small subunit ribosomal RNA
Source: RNAcentral
CUCAGGAUGAACGCUGGCGGCGUGCUUAACACAUGCAAGUCGGAACGAAGCACUUUAUUAUGAUUUCUUCGGAAUGACGAUUUAGUGACUGAGUGGCGGACGGGUGAGUAACGCGUGGGUAACCUGCCUUAUACAGGGGGAUAACAGUUAGAAAUGACUGCUAAUACCGCAUAAGCGCACAGGAUUGCAUGAUCUAGUGUGAAAAACUCCGGUGGUAUAAGAUGGACCCGCGUCUGAUUAGCUGGUUGGUGAGGUAACGGCCCACCAAGGCGACGAUCAGUAGCCGACCUGAGAGGGUGACCGGCCACAUUGGGACUGAGACACGGCCCAAACUCCUACGGGGAGGCAGCAGUGGGGAAUAUUGCACAAUGGGGGAAACCCUGAUGCAGCGACGCCGCGUGAGCGAAGAAGUAUUUCGGUAUGUAAAGCUCUAUCAGCAGGGAAGAAAAAUGACGGUACCUGACUAAGAAGCCCCGGCUAACUACGUG